CUACGGAACAAUGGCUGAGGCAAUGUGGUAUUUAGAGUUUAGAACUCGGGCGACGCCAAUCGCGCAUUCGCAUUGAGGGCGACCUUCAAGGGCUGCGAGUCAGGGUAUUUAUCGGAGUGUGGGCAAUGGGCGACGUGUCUGAGCGCACUCUGCACCUGGUGGUGCUCCUGGCCUUCGCCUCCGGGGUGCUGGUGGGCUGGCAGUCUAACCGGAUCCGCAGGAGGUACCUGGACUGGAGGAAGAAGAGUUUACAGAGCAGACUGGCGGAGACCCAGAAGAAGCUGGACCUCUCAUGAAGAGCCCGUGCAGUGAGUGUACAUGGAGACACUAUUAUCUGAUUAUAGCUGCAGGCAGAGCAUGUAACCAUCAAUGAGGGAUGCUCACUGAACAUCUGUUUUUAGUGAUUUGUAGAAAGUACUGACUAGGAAACUGAUAACCAAGUCUGCUCUCCAAAGCCCUAAAGCUGAAGUUGUUUAGGGGUUAACAGCGAGUGUCACCUCUUUCUUACUUUUUUAAAGUGUUGGUUUAUCUUGAAAUUGGCAUUUAAAAAAAAAAAAUUAGGUUCUGGGUUACACCUUUCCAUCAUCCAGAAGGGUGCCCUUACUAACGCUUUGAAUGUGAGCUUUAAAAAAACACUAUGGUGUCAGGGAUACAAACUUGUAUUUAUGACACUGUAGUUGUAAUAUUAUUAUUAUUAUUAUUAUUAUUAUUAUUAUUAUUAUUAUUAUUGCCAUUUAUAUAGCGCCAACAGAUUCCGUAGUGCUUUACAAUAUUUUGAGAGGGGGGAUGUAACAAUAAAUAGGACAAUUACAAGAAAACUUACAGGAACAAUAGGUUGAAGAGGACCCUGCUCAGAUGAGCUUACAGACUAUAGGACAGUGAUGGCGAACCUAUGGCACGCGUGCCACAGGUGGCACGCCGAGCCCCCUCUGUGGGCACGCGGCCAUAGGUCGCCGGAGGGAGGGUGCGCUCCGCCGGCGCAUCCAUAAGGCGGCACAAGUGGCCGCCUUAGGGUGCACCAGCCCGGCGGGCGCAAAGCCACAGUGACCGGCAGGAGGUGAGCGCAUAGCGCUCCCUCCUGCCAGACACUCUGUGUAGCGUGGCCGAGCGCACCGCGGUACAGGAACUUAUGUUUCCUGUACCCGGGCGGCUGGAAAUGAAGUGCUCACAGAGAGAGCACUUNNNNNNNNNNNNNNNNNNNNNNNNNNNNNNNNNNNNNNNNNNNNNNNNNNNNNNNNNNNNNNNNNNNNNNNNNNNNNNNNNNNNNNNNNNNNNNNNNNNNGAUAUGGGGGGGAAACUGAGGGAGAGAUAUGGGGGGAAGCUGAGGGAGAGAGAUGGGGGGAAACUGAGGGAGAGAGAUGGGGGGAAACUGAGGGAGAGAGAUGGGGGGGAACUGAGGGAGAGAGAUGGGGGGAACUGAGUGGGAGAGAGAUGGGAGGGGAAACUGAGUGGGAGAGAGAUGGGAGGUGAAACUGAGUGGGAGAGAUGGGAUGGAAACUGAGGGAGAGAUGGGACGGAAACUGAGGGGGAGAGUUAUGGGGGGGAACUGAGGGAGGUAUAGGGGGAGAAAACUGAGUGUGGGACGGGGAGGGGGACACACACAGCAAUUCUGCCCUGCCACAUCACACAAUGACACAUCACCUCACCUAAUACGUCACACAUAAAAUGUACCUCAAUGCAGUGUGGUGGCAUCGGUAAAACUGUUCAGGUGCAUAUCGGCAGUUCGCCCAGGUGCUAACACUGCAGUCUGCCCAGGUGCACACUGGCAGUUCGUCUGUGGUGAUCGGCACAGCCAGGUGCACACUCGGCAGUCUGCCUGUGUGUGCACACUCGGCAGUCUGCCUGUGUGUGCACACUCGGCAGUCUGCCUGUGUGUGCACACUCGGCAGUCUGCCUGUGUGUGCACACUCGGCAGUCUGCCUGUGUGUGCACACUCGGCAGUCUGCCUGUGUGUGCACACUCGGCAGUCUGUGUGUGUAGACAGACUGCUAAGUACACACACAGAGAUGUUAAUUAGUUCGGACAACUGUAUGAGUUGUUUUUUCGAAACUUAAACCUCAGUAUUCAGGUUUAAAUGCCGUUUUGGCACUUUGAGGGAAAAAAAAUUGGCAUGUAUUACGUUUUGGGCACUCGGGCUCAAAAAGGUUCGCCAUCACUGCUAUAGGAGGUGGGGUAUUUGAAACAUUAGGACAAGAAAUAUCAAGUAGGAGUGAAGCAGAGCUGGAGGAGAGAGCAAAGCACUGUCCCAUAGGAGAGAGCAGGAGACAGGUAUGUAACGUUGAGAUUACUCUGGGAGGCCAUACGCUUUCCUGAAGAGAUGGGGUUUUAAGGCCCUUCUUAAAUGAUUGAAGACUAGGGGAGAGUCUGAUGGCAGUAGGCAAGCUAUUCCAUAGGAGAGGAGCCGCCCGCGAGAGGUCCUGCAAGCGCGAGUUGGCCGUACGGGUGCGAGCAGUGGUCAGGAGGUGGUCACGGGCAGAGCGGAGGGUACGAGGAGGGGCAUUUCUAUGGAUUAGUGAAGAGAUAUAAGUGGGGCUAGAAUUGUUCAGUGCUUUAAAUGUAUGGGUUAGCACUUUGAAUUGACUCCUAUAGCAUACAGGGAGCCAAUGUAAGGACUGGCAGAGGGGUGAGGUGUGAGGUGUGAGAGGACCGACUAGAGAGGAAAAUCAGUCUAGCUGCAGCAUUCAUUACAGACUGUAGCGGGGCAAUACGGCUUUUGGGGAGACCAAUCAGGAGAGGGUUAUAGUAAUCCAUGCGGGAAAUUACUAGAGCAUGGACAAGCUCCUUGGUAGCAUCUUGCGUAAGAAAGGGGCGAAUGCGGGCUAUGUUUUUGAGUUGGAGCCUACAGGACUUGGCAACAAACUGGAUGUGAGACUCAAAGGUGAGACCAGAGUCAAGUAUGACGCCAAGACAGCGCGCUUGCAGGGAUGGACUUAUGUGGAUAUCACUGACUUGAAGGGAGAGCGAGAGAGGAGGAUCAAUAUUAGGAGGAGGAAAGACAAGGAAUUCAGUUUUAGAGAGGUUGUUUCAGAAAGCGUGAGGACAUCCAGUCAGAGAUGGAAGAAAGGCAAGCAGUGACACGUUGCAGGACGGCAGGGGAGAGGUCCAGGGAGUAGAGGUAUAUCUGAGUGUCAUCAGCGUACAGGUGGUAGUGGAAUCCAAAAGAGGCAAUAAGUUUACCAAGAGAGGCAGUAUAAAGAGUAAAUAGAAGGGGACCAAGGACAGACCCUUGGGGAACUCCAACCGAGACAGGACGAGGGGAGGAGGUAUCCUUGGAAAAGAAGACACUGAAUGAGCGUUGGGAGAGAGAGGAGGAAAACCAAGAGAGGACAGAGUCACAUAGAUCGAGUGAUUGAAGAGUUUGAAGGAGGAGAGCAUGAUCAACGGUGUCAAAAGCAGCAGAGAGGUCAAGGAGAAUUAAUAUGGAGUAAUGACCUUUUGGAUUUAGCGGAGAUUAGGUCACUAGUCACUUUGAUAAGAGCAGUCUCAGUAGAGUGGAGAGGGCGGAAGCCAGACUGAAGAGGGUCAAGGAGAGAGUUGGAAUUAAGGAAGCGGGACACACUGGUAAAGACAAGUCUUUCCAAAAGCUUUGAUGAGAAAGGGAGCAGGGAUAUGGGACGAUAGUUAGAAGGGGAGGAUGGGUCAAGAAAUGUUUUUUUUUUUUUUUUCAGGAUAGGUAUUACAGUGGCAUUUUUAAGGUCAGCAGGAACAGUGCCAGAAGAGAGAGAGAGCAGUUAAAGAUGUGUGUUAGGGUAGGCACAAGACAAGGGGAGAGAGGUGAGAUGGGACAGGAUCGAGCGGGCAAGUGGUGGGGCGAGAGGAAUGGAGAAGCGCAGCCACCUCUUGUUCAGUAGCCAGGUAGAAAUUCUGGAGGGUAGGGAAAGCAAGAUUUACAUGUGGUUGAGAAAGAACGGCAAGGAGGGGAGAAUUGUUUCCUUAGCUGUUCAAUCUUGUUAGUAAAGUAGCAUGCAAAGCUAUCAGCUGUAAGGUUAGUUUGGGGGGUGGCUACAGCAGGGCGGAGAAGUGAAUUAAAGGUGUCAAAGAGGUGUCUGGGAUUGCGGGAGCAUGAACUAAUGAGAGAGGAAAAGUAUGACUGUUUGGCGAGGGCUGCGCUGUAUGAAAGCAACAUGAAUCUAUAAUGGAGAAAGUCUGCCUGGGUGCGGGACUUCCUCCAGGAGCGUUCAGCACAACGGGAGCAACUCUGCAGAUAGCGUGUUGAUUUAUUAUGCCAAGGUUGGGGUCGUGUCCUCCUCGAGGUGCAUGUUUUGAGUGGGGCAGCAGCGUUCAAGGCAGAUGUGAGGGUAGUGUUAUAUGUGGAGAUGGCCAGUGAGGGACAGGAGAGGGAAGGGAUGGAUAGCAGUUGUGAAUCAAUGUCAGCUGACAGCUGCUGGAGGUCAAUAGAGUUAAGGUUCCUCCUGAGCUGAGGGGGGUUAGGCUGAGAUUGUUGGGUGAAGGGGUAAUUGAGAGCAAAUGAUAAGAGGUGGUGAUCAGAGAGAGGAAAUGGGGUGUUGCAGAUAUUAGUAACAUGACUGUUUAUGUCCCCGGCGCUCUCUAUUUACUUUAAGGACCGUUUUUUUUUUUGUUUUUUUUUCGGACGUACCUCAUAUGUCCGUUGUCCUUAAGGGGUUAAAAAGGUGAGUUUACUCACCUUUUUUAACAAUGCUGGGCCAAUCGUUCGUGGUUUACUCAAUGAUGAGUCCGUGGCGAACCGUUCGGGACAUCACUAUUGAGGGACAGUCUCACCAGUGGUGUAUCCUGGUUUUGUGCUGCCCUAGGCAGGACAAAACUCAGGCGCCCCUCCCCCCGCGCCACCCCCACCCAACCCUUCCCCCCGCCCCACCUUCUAAAUACACACAGUCAGACACAAACACACACAGUCAGACACAAACACACACAGUCAGACACAAACACACACAGUCAGACACAAACACACACAGUCUUGACACAAACACACAUUGAAGUCAGACACAAAACACAGCCGACACAAACACACACACACAGUCAGACACACAAACACACACACAGUCAGACACAAAACACAGUCAGACAUGACACACAGUCAGACACAGACACACACAGUCAGACACAUACUACAGACACACACACACCAGACACAGACACACACACUCAGACACAGACACACACACUCAGACAGACACACACACUCAGACACAGACACACACAGUCAGACACACACAGUCAGACACACACAGUCAGACACACACAGUCAGACACACACAGUCAGACACACACACAGUCAGGACACACACAGUCAGACACACACACAGUCAGACACACACAGUCAGACACACACAGUCAGACACACACAGUCAGACACACACACAGUCAGACACACACACACACACAGUCAGACACACACACACACAGUCAGACACACACACAGUCAGACACACACACACAGUCAGACACAAACACACACAGUCAGACACAAACACACACAGUCAGACACACACAAACACACACAGCCUGACACAAACACACACAGUCAGACACAGACACACCAGACACAGACACACACCAGUCAGACACACACACACUCCACACACAGUCAGACACACACAGUCAGACACACACACACAGCCGUGACACACACACACACAGUCAGACACACACACACACAGUCAGACACACACACACACAGUCAGACACACACACACACAGUCAGACACACACACACACAGCCCAGACACACACACACACAGUCAGACACACACACACACAGUCAGACACAUACACACACAGUCAGACACAUACACACACAGUCAGACACAUACACACACAGUCAGACACAUACACACACAGUCAGACACACAUACACACACAGUCAGACAUACACACACAGUCAGACACAUACACACACACACAGUUGUGACACAUACACACAGUCAGUAUACAUACACACACAAAGUCAGACACAUACACACACACAGUCAGACACAUACACACACACACACAUACACAGUCAGACACAUACACAGUCAGACACAUACACAGUCAGACACAUACACAGUCAGACACAUACACAAACACACACAGUCAGACACAUACACACACACACAGUCACACACACACACACACACACACACACACACUCACAAACACUCACAAACACAGUCAGACACAAACACACACACAGUCACAAACACAGUCACACACGCACAGUCAGACACAAACACACACACACUCACAAACACACACACACAUUAACUUUUUUUAAUUUAAAUCCCCCCCCAACCUCCUUACCUUUGGAAGUGCUGGAGGGGGAGGGGGAUCUCUCUCCCUGGUGGUCCGGUGGCUGCAGGUCGGGCGGGCGGCGCUGGCAGGUGGGCGGGCGGCUGCCGAGGGAGCUCUUCCUAUGAGCACUCUGCUCAGCUCCCUCGUGCGCCGGCUGCAGAGUGAGGCUGGGGGCCGGAAGAUGACGUCAUCUUCCGGCUCCCAGCCUCACUCUGCAGCCGGUGCGCGAGGGAGCUGAGCAGAGUGCUCAUAGGAAGAGCUCCCUCGCCAGCCGCCCGCCCGCCCGACCGGGAUGUCAGUUAGCCGCAAGGCUAACUAGGCAUUUGCCCUGGGCAUUUGGGGGGCGGCGUUUUUUGCCGCCCCCUGAAAAAUGCCGCCCAAGGCAAAUGCCUUGUUUGCCUCGCGGCUAAUACGCCCCUGAGUCUCACUGUAAAUAACUUGCAACAUUUGCUAACCAUGUUGUUGUGUUUUUUUUUUUUUUUUUUUACAGAGGUCUAAAAAAAAACCUGACACUUUAAUUUUAAUGAAACUUGUUUUUCUAAUUGGUUUGUAGAAUAAAUAUAGCAUUUAACAUGUUACAAUUCUUUCUUCUUUUUUUUUUUUUUUUUUCUUGCAGCUUCAAAUGGAAAAUAAAACAUUGAAACUAACUGGAUGAGUCAUUUCAAAUUGAAGAACCAUACAAAUUUGUAUAUAUUUGUUUUUGGAGAACUGUUUACAAAUUGUAAUAAAAGUAAUUUUAUUUAACCCUUAAGGACAGAGCCAAUCGUACAAGUUCUGUUCAAAACAAACUAAACAAACCAGAGAAUUUGACUAUAUGUCUGUUAAACCAUAAAUGACCUCUUCUAUAUUAAGUGCACCCACACUUACAUAUUAUCUAUCAUUUUUUGUUCAGGAGAAAAAGAGCUUUCAUUUCACAUCAAAUGUGUGUGUAUAUACGAAACAUAUUUUAAUAUGAAUAAAAUCUAAAGUUUGAAAAAUUAAGAAAGUUUGUGAUUUUUGAAGACAACACUGAACUCAAAUAUGCGUGUAUGUCAUUUUACCUGUGAAUGCCAUAAUACUGUUUUGCUUUUACUGCAAAAAGCAAAUAAUUUAGGUGCCCUUCUCCGCUUUUACUGCAAUAAAACACACAUAUUUGUAUUCAGCAAUAUUCCACAAGUAAAGCUGUUACAGGUUUUAAGUUUCAAUAUAUAGGGCUUUCCCAUUUUACUUUUUACCUUUUUGAAAUUUGCCAGAUUGGUUAUGUUGUAUGGAGACUGUAUGGCAGCCCAGAAAUGAAAAUUACCCCCAUCAUGGCAUACCAUUUGCAAAAGUAGACAUCCCAGGGUAUUCAAAAUAGGGUAUUUCAAGUCUUUUGUAGUAGCUGCUUAGUCACAAACGCUGGGCCAUUUUUUUUUUUUUUUUUCUUUUCAUUUUUCACACAAAACUGCACUUUCACUGAUGAUAUAAUUGUCAUUUAUACAUUUUACUCAUGUUUGUGUUCAGUGAUGUCUCACGAGUACAAUGGUACCCCCAUGUAUAGGUUUUAUGGCAAUUAGAAAGUUACAGGGUCAAAUCUGGCUUGCCCAUUAAAAUUUUUACACAUUGAAAUUUGACAUUUAUUUUUUGGGGGCCUAUAUCACCUUUGAGCAAGUAUGGCAGCAUGGGUAAUAGCAUUUCCAUUAUGACGUUCCCUCCGGCUGAUCUCUCAUAUCUUGCGCCCUCAUGGGGCAAAAACAACUCAUAACAUAUAUCAAAUUCCAACUCAUGCUUUGGCAUGACAGGGGGACACAGUGCGUUGUCAUUAAAAUGAAGGAAUCGCAGCAGUUGCAGGUAGAGAUCCCUUGUUAACCACGGGGAAAAGAAGGGUAGCCAGGAUAUAAUGCUUGUGUCAGUAGGACCUGAUAUUGGGCUUUUUGAUGAUACCCAUUACUAGGGUUAAAAGCCCAAAUCACUUAAUCUAUUUUACUAUAAUGAUGCUACCAUAUGUAUUUAUACUGUGCUGUUGGUCAUCAUAAAUUUUUUUUUUUUUUUUUUUUUUUUUGCAGUGCAUAUAAAGAUAACAAACAGGCAUGGGGUACCCCAAAGGCAAUCCACAUGCACAUUUCCAGACAAUAGUUACACAGUAGUAAGAGCAUUGGGGUAUGUUGAACAGUG
This 8385-nucleotide long non-coding RNA is filed under the name Pelobates cultripes (western spadefoot toad). Lineage: Eukaryota; Metazoa; Chordata; Amphibia; Anura; Pelobatidae. The record is from RNAcentral.